UCGGGAAUUUUGGGCAAUGGGGGAAACCCUGACCCAGCAACGCCGUGUGAAGGAUGAAGUAUUUCGGUAUGUAAACUUCGAAAGAAUAGGAAGAAUAAAUGACGGUACUAUUUAUAAGGUCCGGCUAACUACGUGCCAGCAGCCGCGGUAAUACGUAGGGACCAAGCGUUGUUCGGAUUUACUGGGCGUAAAGGGCGCGUAGGCGGCAUGACAAGUCACUUGUGAAAUCUCUGGGCUUAACCCAGAACGGCCAAGUGAUACUGUCGCGCUAGAGUGCAGAAGGGGCAAUCGGAAUUCUUGGUGUAGCGGUGAAAUGCGUAGAUAUCAAGAGGAACACCUGAGGUGAAGACGGGUUGCUGGGCUGACACUGACGCUGAGGCGCGAAAGCCAGGGGAGCAAACGGGAUUAGAUACCCUCGUAGUCCCUGAGCGGGCUGGCAAGGCGCAU
RNAcentral lists this ribosomal RNA (447 nucleotides) under uncultured bacterium. RNAcentral describes it as "bacterial SSU rRNA". It matches the Rfam family "Bacterial small subunit ribosomal RNA", at positions 355 to 825 of the family's 1533-position model. The record is from RNAcentral.